This 551-nucleotide ribosomal RNA is filed under the name uncultured bacterium. Its description in RNAcentral is "bacterial SSU rRNA". It matches the Rfam family "Bacterial small subunit ribosomal RNA", at positions 505 to 1055 of the family's 1533-position model. The record is from RNAcentral.
GUCUCAGCAGCCGCGGUAAUACGGAGGGUGCAAGCGUUAAUCGGAAUUACUGGGCGUAAAGCGUGCGUAGGUGGUUUGUUAAGUUAGAUGUGAAAGCCCUGGGCUCAACCUAGGAACUGCAUUUAAAACUGGCGAACUAGAGUAUAGGAGAGGAAAGUGGAAUUUCAGGUGUAGCGGUGAAAUGCGUAGAUAUCUGAAGGAACAUCAAUGGCGAAGGCAGCUUUCUGGACUAAUACUGACACUGAGGUACGAAAGCGUGGGUAGCAAACAGGAUUAGAUACCCUGGUAGUCCACGCCGUAAACGAUGACAACUAGCCGUUGGGAGGAUUUACCUCUUAGUGGCGAAGCUAACGCGUUAAGUUGUCCGCCUGGGGAGUACGGCCGCAAGGCUAAAACUCAAAGGAAUUGACGGGGACCCGCACAAGCGGUGGAGCAUGUGGUUUAAUUCGAUGCAACGCGAAGAACCUUACCUGGUCUUGACAUACACGGAACUUUCCAGAGAUGGAUUGGUGCCUUCGGGAACCGUGAUACAGGUGCUGCAUGGCUGUCGU